This 725-nucleotide ribosomal RNA is filed under the name Gymnobelideus leadbeateri (Leadbeater's possum). RNAcentral describes it as "12S ribosomal RNA". It matches the Rfam family "Bacterial small subunit ribosomal RNA", at positions 490 to 1522 of the family's 1533-position model. Lineage: Eukaryota; Metazoa; Chordata; Mammalia; Diprotodontia; Petauridae. The record is from RNAcentral.
GGGUUGGUAAAUUUCGUGCCAGCCACCGCGGUCAUACGAAUUAACCCAAAUUAACAGAAAAACGGCGUAAAGAGUGUUUAAGUCAACCAAUAAUAAAGCUAAGAUGUGACUAGACUGUAAUACGUUAUAGCUAACAUCAAAAUAAAUGACUAAAGUAGCUUUAAUUAAACUGAACACACGAAAGCUAAGACACAAACUGGGAUUAGAUACCCCACUAUGCUUAGCCCUAAACCCAAACAGCUACCAAACAAGACUGUUCGCCAGAGAACUACUAGCAAAUGCUUAAAACUCAAAGGACUUGGCGGUGCCCUAAACCCACCUAGAGGAGCCUGUUCUAUAAUCGAUAAACCCCGAUAAACCUUACCCCCUUUUGCCAAUACAGCCUGUAUACCGCCAUCGUCAGCCCACCUCAUCAGAGAACUAAAGUGGGCAAGAUUAUUAUUCAUAAAAACGUUAGGUCAAGGUGUAGCGUAUAAGAGGGAAAGCAAUGGGCUACAUUUUCUAUACUAGAAUACAACGAACUAUCUCUUGAAAGCUAAGACAUCCGAAGGAGGAUUUAGUAGUAAAUUAAGAAUAGAGAGCUUAAUUGAAUUAGGCAAUAGGGCGCGCACACACCGCCCGUCACCCUCCUCAACCAAAAUACAGCAUCCUAACUAAAAAUCCAAUAAAACAAAGAGGAGAAAAGUCGUAACAUGGUAAGUGUACUGGAAGGUGCACUUGGAAUA